GGGUCGUUAGCUCAGUUGGUAGAGCAGUUGACUUUUAAUCAAUUGGUCGCAGGUUCGAAUCCUGGACGAAGCA
Molecule: transfer RNA, 73 nt
Filed under: Salmonella enterica subsp. enterica serovar Typhimurium str. STm4
Lineage: Bacteria; Pseudomonadati; Pseudomonadota; Gammaproteobacteria; Enterobacterales; Enterobacteriaceae
Description: tRNA-Lys
Rfam family: tRNA
About the family: Transfer RNA (tRNA) molecules are approximately 80 nucleotides in length.
Source: RNAcentral